AAGUUGAACAACAGGAAUUAUUUGGCUUGGCUGUGUCCCCACAUAAAUCUCAUCUUGAAUUGUAAAUCCCACAAUUCCUACAUGUGGUGGGAGGAAACCCAGUGGGAGGUGAUUGAAUUAUGGGGUGGGUCUUUCCUGCACUGUUCUCAUGAUAGUGAAUGAGUCUCACAAGAUCUGAUGGUUUUAAAAACAGUAGU
Molecule: long non-coding RNA, 197 nt
Organism: Sapajus apella (tufted capuchin)
Lineage: Eukaryota; Metazoa; Chordata; Mammalia; Primates; Cebidae
Exons: 3
Source: RefSeq, a predicted model, not a curated record